This 599-nucleotide small RNA is filed under the name Histoplasma ohiense. RNAcentral's name for it is "hypothetical lncRNA". The record is from RNAcentral. Lineage: Eukaryota; Fungi; Ascomycota; Eurotiomycetes; Onygenales; Ajellomycetaceae.
CAGACAGUGCGAUAUAAACUACUACUUUAAAAUUUCUGUGAAUAUAUAUAUAAUUUAUAUAUGUUUAAACUCACAGAAGCCAAUGUGGUAAAGUUGUAUUUCUUUUGAACUAAGUUCUAAGCAGAAUGGAUUCUAUCAUGAGACAUUGGCCACUAACUGUACCAAGCGCAUCUCACUACCUCCCAUUAGUGAGUGCGCCACACUGUAACAGAAUUCUUUGAAUUUGUAACGGGCGUACUACCAAUUAACAGACUAAGCACUAUCCUACUUACUGAUUAAGAGGGGAAAGAGAGAAGAGAUUAGAAGAAAGGGUCAUACAAAGAGGCUCUUAUAGAAGAGGAAUCAGAACAGAAGAAUAUCAGAGAUCACAUCAAGAUGAGGUGUGGAGUGGAGGAAUCAUUAGAGACUACACAAUCACAGAGUGGAAUUGUGAGGAGGGGAGUAUUCAUAAGCACACUGCACACAUGAGCGCGUGAGUGUGGAGUGGUAGGGGAUUGGUUGUGUAAAUUGACUACUAACAGAUGCUAACCUGUCACAUUAUCCCCCUCUACUGAGGUGAGCGAGGAUUCAUAGACAUCAAGGGCAACAGCAUCUUCCAU